Anser brachyrhynchus (Pink-footed goose) is the source of this 2393-nucleotide long non-coding RNA. The record is from Ensembl. Lineage: Eukaryota; Metazoa; Chordata; Aves; Anseriformes; Anatidae.
GAGUGAAGAGCGAAACCACACAAAGGGGCCCUGUUUGAUCUUUGUUCUGAAAACUCAAAGACAGCAAGAGCUGUAAAAAUUACUUGCUGUUCCCAUGUAACGAGCAAAUUGGUACAAUAUUUCGCAAAGGCCCAGGACUCUUUCACGUUUCUUAAGGACAACUGAAUGCACUUUGUCUCGCUAAGACUGAUAGACCUCGUCUGGAUAGAUGGGAGCCGCUUUUCUUCCCUGACACUCCUUCUGUGAAACUCUGCACUGUGUUAAAAUCCUUUGAUGCAGGAAUUUCAGUCACAGGUCAUUCUGUAUGUAAGUUUAUAUUCCCUUGGUUAUUUAGAUCUGUAUAUUAUACAUUCUCAAGCUUUUUACAAGCUCAUUUGUGUGUCUCAUGAUUAAAAAAUCUGUUUAUGUUUUUUUGCUUGUCAAGACAUAAUCAGCUUUCAUGCUGUGUCUAUGUGAUAUGUUCAAUAAUCAGUCAGGUUUAUGGGGAAAGCAGGAGCAGCAAUGCCAUACAAAGUACUUCUCGGGGAUGAGUCUGAAGCUGUGAACUCGCUUUUCAUUCUGCUUCACCUAAAAUCUUAAAGCUAUGUGCCGCCGUCAAGGAAGUUUUUGUAGCAAUCUGGGCUCUGUUAGCUGACUAGCUCCCCCUCUUGAAACUCUGCAAACACUGACAGAGAACUAGUCAAGGCUGUAAAGAGAAGUGAAAUGAAAUCCAUCGGUACUGUAGUACUUCAUUGUUAUAUCAGUUGUGGAUUUUUAUUUUUUCCUUUGCAACCUUGACAGCUGGGGAACAGUCCUUGCCUUGCUGUUGCUGCUGGUUUCUGAACUGAAGUUUUAAGAACAUAUCAGGGGUUUUGGUGCCUGUUGCAAAAGGGUUGAGGGCUGCAAAGUUCACCCUAGUGCUGGUGUCCAGGGGGGAUGGAGAGAGGAGCUCCCCAGCUGAAGGGCACUGGAGAAGGACAGAGGAGGACAAGGAUGGCUGGGGGACAUCAUGGUUCAGCUCCACCCUGCAGCAGACCCUAUGGAGAGACUGCAGCGUACAGCGGGGCAGGAAGGGCAGUGCCCAUCUGUGCAGGAGUGCAAACAUCAGCUGUGCCUCCUGGGGCAUUCCCUCCUGACAAUGAGCCCAGCUGACACAGGAGGUGGCAGCUGUGCCUCCACGCUGCAUGGCUUGGCGAGGAACGGGGCUGUAAACAUGGUAGGUAACUACAGAAAGGAGUUUCUUUUUCAUUUUUGUUUUGUUUUGUUUUCUAGAACAGAUACAAGGUAUAGGAGGAGAUUUUGUUCUUGGUUGUCACGUGGAAAGAGAGUGGUGGAGAGCAAAGGAAUCAAGAUGUACAGGACAGUACUGCUACUGUGGCAUUUUUCUCCAGCUAAGGAGCAGAACUGCAAAUGAAGAGACUGUAAAGGCUUUACUUUAAACAUUAUUUGGAAUGAGUUGCGCACUUGCAGUGAAGAUUAGUGCUUGACUGCACCUGACUUUUUAUUUAUUUAUGAUUUUAUUCUAUGGGAAAUAUGACAGAAAAAGACUUACUGAAGUUCUGCGAGUGAGCACAAGCACUUGCAUCAUUUUAACAUCUGUCACCAAGCACAAUUGAUAAUGGUGACUGCUAUUAUGGCAUCUUCCUCCCCUCCGCACAAGGCCAUCUGGGAUUUGUGUUAUGUAAGAGGAUUAGCAUUUUUGCUUUCCUCUGUUAUUUAAAGUAUUUCUCAGAACUAGUUUUUGAAUAAUAACAACAAUAAUAAUUGGGCUGUUUUCUGUGGGGCUUUCUGAAAGGAAAAUUCGGGAAUUCUAAAGCCAUUGCUCUUAAGAUGAACACCUGGCCUUGCCAUUUGGGUUUGAAUGGGAUUCACUUGAAAUGGGAUUUUUCAAGCUGUGGUGGAUAGGACUGAUGGAAGGCUGAUAUGACUGGAUGAAAUGAAGGAUAAAGCAUAAAUUAUCGUGAGUGGAUCUGUUCCAGCAAGGAAACAAUUGUGAUUUCCUUUUCUUCCUCUCAGACCUGAUUAUUCAUCACAUUGUUUAUAACGAAAAUCUCAGCUUCAAAUCCUAUCUCAUAUAAUUAUAGUGGUGGCUGGUAAUUUUGACUGUUAAGAAAGCCUGAUAUUUAUCAUUAUCUGACCCUGGCUUGGGUUGUUUAUAUAUUUAUGAAAAUUGAAUUAUUUGGUCUGAAAUUUCUCAUACAGAGUAUUCAGACAUCCUUAAGAUAGAGAAUUUUGAAAAGGUCUAAUCAAAAUAUCUGGCUAUUUUUCAAGAUUUACUUAAAAACAACAACAAAAAUUUACCAUGAAAAAAAGUGUAAUGCAUUAGGAAUACCACUCAAAUUCACAUCAGCUGGAGCUAAUAGUAUUGUAAGGCAGGACUAGGGAGAAGAGAUGCGUUAUUAGACCUGUGACAG